This 465-nucleotide ribosomal RNA is filed under the name Vreelandella stevensii. RNAcentral describes it as "partial 16S ribosomal RNA". It matches the Rfam family "Bacterial small subunit ribosomal RNA", at positions 338 to 795 of the family's 1533-position model. Lineage: Bacteria; Pseudomonadati; Pseudomonadota; Gammaproteobacteria; Oceanospirillales; Halomonadaceae. The record is from RNAcentral.
CCUACGGGUGGCAGCAGUGGGGAAUAUUGGACAAUGGGGGCAGCCCUGAUCCAGCCAUGCCGCGUGUGUGAAGAAGGCCCUCGGGUUGUAAAGCACUUUCAGUGAGGAAGAACGCCUGGUGGUUAAUACCCAUCAGGAAAGACAUCACUCACAGAAGAAGCACCGGCUAACUCCGUGCCAGCAGCCGCGGUAAUACGGAGGGUGCGAGCGUUAAUCGGAAUUACUGGGCGUAAAGCGCGCGUAGGUGGCUUGAUAAGCCGGUUGUGAAAGCCCCGGGCUCAACCUGGGAACGGCAUCCGGAACUGUCAAGCUAGAGUGCAGGAGAGGAAGGUAGAAUUCCCGGUGUAGCGGUGAAAUGCGUAGAGAUCGGGAGGAAUACCAGUGGCGAAGGCGGCCUUCUGGACUGACACUGACACUGAGGUGCGAAAGCGUGGGUAGCAAACAGGAUUAGAUACCCGGGUAGUC